UGCUUUGUAUUCAAUUAUGAUUUUGUAUUGCAAAUACAUUGGUGCAGUUUUGCCAAGGCUU
Molecule: transfer RNA, 61 nt
Filed under: Penthicodes variegata
Lineage: Eukaryota; Metazoa; Arthropoda; Insecta; Hemiptera; Fulgoridae
Description: tRNA-Cys
Source: RNAcentral